Pomacea canaliculata is the source of this 839-nucleotide long non-coding RNA. RefSeq lists it as uncharacterized. The transcript has 4 exons. NCBI's taxonomy places the organism in Eukaryota, Metazoa, Mollusca, Gastropoda, Architaenioglossa, Ampullariidae. The record is from RefSeq and is a predicted model, not a curated record.
AUAAUCACAAACUGUCUUUAGAACAUUUCUACACAUACAGUCGCUUGCGGCUGUUGAGUCAGCGGAAUGUGGCGUUUCGUCUUUGUGCUCCUGCUUCUUGGAGGUUGUGGUGCCCAUGGGGCCGAAUGGAAGAUUAUAAUUCAUACAUCUGACAAAAAAGAUGCGGGAACACAGUCCGACAUCUAUAUUACUCUCCAUGGAUCUCGCGGAUCUUCUGCAGAAAUAGAGUUAAUUAAUUAUUACGACCACUUUCAGAGAAAUCAGAUCGAAAGCUUUUUUGUUACAACGGACGACAUUGGUGAAGUGUGCUCACUGACCAUCAGGUCUGCCGGUAAUUACUUUUGCCCUAACUGGCAUCUCCGAGAGAUUGUGGUUCAGGGAAGUUCACACAAGAGAUUUUGGUGCGACUGCUGGUUAUCAUAUAAAGAAGGAUAUCAGAGGGAACUCCAACCUGAUGUCCCAUGCUCCAGGCAGUAGAAAUAAAGUUUAUUCACCUGAUGGAACACCUUGCUCAUCCGCUAACUGGAAGACAUUUAAAGAUAUAAAAAUGAACAUUCUUGAAAAUUGAGGCAAAAAUGUGUUCUAUAGAAAGACACUAUACUCAAUGAUCUGCAAAUUUAAUACUGCUUGAAUAUUAUUUUGAAAAAAAAACUACAUUUUCUAAGUAUUAUCUAACCCUAAAGAGUAGUCAACUAUAAACGCUUCUGCCAAAGUCUACCUUAUAUCUAUCUAUCUAUUCCUCUUCGUGCAUCAGGUUGCACAUAAGGCCUCAACCAGAGUCCGCCACUGAUGUCGAUCGGCUGAAACCCGCUCUAGGUGACCCCAUGUCCAGCCCUUUC